RNAcentral lists this ribosomal RNA (253 nucleotides) under uncultured bacterium. RNAcentral's name for it is "partial 16S ribosomal RNA". It matches the Rfam family "Bacterial small subunit ribosomal RNA", at positions 524 to 776 of the family's 1533-position model. The record is from RNAcentral.
UACGGAGGAUGCGAGCGUUAUCCGGAUUCAUUGGGCGUAAAGCGCGCGCAGGCGGACCGUUAAGCGGGACCUCUAAUCUCAGGGCUCAACCUUGAGCCGGGUCCCGAACUGGCGUGUCUCGGGUUCGGUAGGGGAGGUCGGAAUUCCCGGUGUAGCGGUGGAAUGCGCAGAUAUCGGGAAGAACACCGAUGGCGAAGGCAGACCUCUGGGCCGCAACCGACGCUGAGGCGCGAAAGCUAGGGGAGCAAACAGG